This 4720-nucleotide long non-coding RNA is filed under the name Apis mellifera (honey bee). RNAcentral's name for it is "uncharacterized LOC107965402, transcript variant X2". The record is from RNAcentral. Lineage: Eukaryota; Metazoa; Arthropoda; Insecta; Hymenoptera; Apidae.
AUAGCGAGGAGGCAGCUGCGAACACCUAACAGGUGGUGCGAUAUAAAUCGGGGCCAAAAUUUUAUGUGCAACCGUUGCCGAAGAGCUCAUUUCUAUUUUAACUUUGCAACCACGGACGAGAUAUUUCGCGAUAUUAUUCUUAUGCCACGAACGAGAUAUCUCGCGAAUUUAUUAGGACAAGAGUCAAUUCUAGUGUUAUUCUAUUCAAUAAAGUAUUCAGCUGUUGAUAAAAUUGCACAAACUUUUUUUUAUAUAGAAUAGUAUUCUUUAUUAGUUCGAUAAACGAUAUUCAAAUUCGAUAUUUUAUUUUCGUAAUAUUUUGUGAUAUUUGUUUUAUAAAAUAUCCUGUGCUUGUGAAGUAAUGAAAUUAACAAAGGUACGAAAUUUAUUUUCUAUAGAAAGAGAAACAUUAUUUUCGAAAGAUAGAUCGAAACUUUUAUGUGUUUCCCGCGAGAAUAUGUCUCGAGCGAAAUUAAUGGCGACGUUAUGAAAUGCAAUGAAUUUCAAACAGUUUAAAUCCGAAUUUGAUUGAAAUAUUAGCUGAAAAAAACAAAGUUGAAUCAAAAUCUAAUGAGAAGUCUUGACUAUGCCUCUAUUCAUAUUCAGAUUUCUUCUUGAAAAUAUAAAGUCCCGCUCGACAACUCGUCAGAAAUUAAUUAUGGAAGCAUUGAAUCCUAACCUUCAAGUAUUAUGACAGAGAUUCAACUUUCGUCUAAAUGAAUUCGCUCAAACUAAAUUACAACUGACAAGAAGAUACAAACUCAACUAUAAUUGACUCUUUUAUAACAUAAUAUUUUGAAAAUAUAUGAUAAAACAGUGCAAAAAUAGUGAUAAUACAUGCUAUAUUAAUAAAUUUAGACAAUUCGUGUAGCACGAUACAUAUCAUACUUUUUUUUUUGACACAUUAUUUAUUACUAGCUGUUUAAUAGAUCGUAAAUUCAACAUUAAUAUCAGUAAUUUAUAAAUUUUAACGUUCGGUAAUCGACUGAUGAAAUUUAUUGACUUUUUCCUAAAUCUAUUAUUUUUUCAAAGUUAUUAUAACAAUUUUCAGAUCCUCAAAAAUGAAUCUCGAAACGAAAGUGAAUAUUUUUAGAUUAUUUGUCAAAGUAUUCUAACUAUUUAUUGGACAACACGAUAAUAAAAAUGGAUAUUGAUAAUUCGAAGACGUUUACCUAACCUUACUUUUAUAAUAUAUCGACUCGGAAAGUGAUCAUGAUACAAAUAUUGUUAAUGUGUAUCUAUUUUAUUUUAUUUCACACAUUUUUACCUGACAAUUGAAACUCUUUAAAGAAUUCAGACUUAAACUGAUUGAUUUGUUAUAUAUAUUCGUUUAAUUCACACCCGGUAAGUAAUAUAUUUAACAUUUCUUCAUGAUUUGUAUUAGUUUUAAGUUUUGCUUAACACAAUUUCAGUACAACAUAGAACAAAUUGGCCAUGUUACAGGAGAAUUGACUAUAUUAAUUCACUCUUUCAAUCGUGUACUCCCCGUUGACAUGAUUCCUCAAUUGCGAAAGAGAGCGAGACACGCGAGAAACUAAAUUCGUGUUUCAAGAGAUUCUGCAUUCGAUGAAAGGAGAUGUUCGACUUCUAUGUGGCGAUAGUAGAAACCAAGCCUGAUCAACGGGUUUUGAUGAGAAAUCACAAGACCUAAGUCUGGCGCUUCGGAUUUCUCCGCGGAAAUGUAAAGUAGCAGGUACGAGAUAGGCUGCGUUUUUUUUUUUUUUUAAUCGAUACACGUUCUCUUUUGAUCAACGUAUCCUCCAUUUACAAUUCUAAAGUGUUCAUCUCUUACUUUUUUUUUUCUUUACCAGGUAAUCAAAAAAUUAGUCGAGAAGGAAAUGAUACGUUUUUUUAAUGAGAAUUUGUACUUUCUUAUAACGUCGUUCAUUCACAAAUAAGCAAUGAAACAAAUAAGGAAACGUCUGUAGAAGAAAACACGACGAAUAGAAAUAGAAAAUUACUUGGAUGGAAAAUGAUUAAUCGCGAAACAAAUUUUAAUUAUAUAAAAUGAAAGAGUCUGAACGAAGCCAAUGAACAUACACGAAGGAAUGAAGAAACGUGAGCUACUAAUUGAACGAAAAAUCAUUUCUGACGGAGAAAUUAUGUAACAUGAACUUCUAUUAUACGAACAAUCUGAUUAUGUGAACGUGUUUGUUAUUCAACACGUAUAAAUGAAAAGUUCGACUAUACAAAUAUAAAACAAAUAAUAAAACUUAUAUAUAUCUCAUGAUUGAUAUUACUUCGUAAGAUUAACUAUGUGAGAAAUGGUUAUGCAAUUACGUGUACGCAGUGUUGUUCAAUUUAUCGCGGUUUCCCGCGACUCGAAUCGAGUGGCAAGCAGCUUCCGUAAGAGAGGAAGGCAAAUCUUGCCGCGGUGCGAGUUUUUUGCCAAAUUAAAGUCGUUAGAGGAUAAACGAGAGAGGAGGCUUGCUCGGAACAGGCAAGUGGCAAGAAAUCUUCUUCGUGGAGGGUCUAAUCGAGCGAGGCGCGCGAUCCUACCCAUCGCCUUUCUUCCAAGAAGGAAACGAAAAGAACGGAAUAUCUCGAAGAAAGCAAUUUCUCGGGAAACGCGAAAACGUAGCGGGAUCCCAUUCGUCAAAGUUGAAGCCAACGACAUCGUUGAACAACGGUUCGAAUUUACGAGCUCCACGAAGCGCGAAUAGCGUCAAAGUUGCAGCCUCGACACGCCACCAAGGGUAUAUACACCGAGCAGGAAACUGGACUGUUCCACUGCUCAGCUUCUCCGGUUGAAGAAAUUCUUGGACACUUCCUGCUCUUCGAUCCCCGCCACUGAUACAGGCGUGUUUCACAGGCAACGUUAACCUUGAGGCCAUCCCGAGUUAAUGAGAAAACCGGAGAAAGAACGUUCGGUUUUACCAGAUUGUUUUACCAGUUUUCGCAGGCAAGGAUAAAUAGCAAUUGAAAAUGUUAUAUAGGGAUGCCAUAAAAGCAAUGAAUAGAUGGAAAUCAAGCAUCACUGUUCACAAAACAAUAUAUCUUUUUCACUUGUUUCAUAUCUCAGGAUGGAGAUAAUUUGACCAAACUAAAACACAAUAUUCAAAAAUUUCAGAGAUAAUUUGACCAAACUAAAGCACAAUAUUCAAGUAUAAUCUAAUCAACCUAUCAUUUUAAAUGUAUUAUAUAGCAUUUGAUGUAUAUAUAUGAUACAUCAAAUACAUAUGAUAUUUGUUAGUUUUACUUGAAAUAUUCGACUUUUUCAUUUCUCUUUUUUUUCUUUUUCAGAAAUUUUGCAAUACCUAUAUAUAUAUACAAACCGCCAUUCAAGAUUCAAGGAUCGUCGUGGAAUCGUUUGCGCUUGAUUUUGUGAACACAAGGUUUAAUAUUUAAAGACGAGGGAAUACUUUCACUAUGUUUGUUUCUCGUAAGUAGCGGCUACGUUAUUAUUUCACCGACGAGCCUUUGGCAUCCGCACGAGAGUUAAAGCGUACUUAGGACCUUGCUUCGUUCCCCUCAAAAAAAGCCAGAUCCUAGGCGUCGACGAUUUCUUCUACUAUGACCCGUCGAAUCUUCGGUUACGAUAUUCAGAAAAUUAUCCAUUUAUUAAGAAAUUGAUUCUCUCUUUCCCUUUUCCAGCAACGGAGGAACGAAGUUCUAACCGAGGCUGAACGCUAGCGCCGUCAACUCCAUAGAAAGUUUCAUACACACUUUCACCGUGGUGGAUUGGCGCGAAGCACGUCAGGGUGUCUUGUUUGGAGCUUUUACGGUUUCGAGAAGAAGGCAAACGCGCGUACCGACCUCUCCCUGUCCCCUUUGCGGUUGAUGCAAGAUCAACGACCCAGGGUCAAGAGGAGGAAGAGGUAGGAGGGCAUGGAGCAGAGCAUCAAGUGCUCGUUGCCCUCCGGUGGUAGCGUGGCGGACCAGGAAAUCGGUGCUGCCAACACCGGGACCGGAGAGCAACGUCUGCAACGUCGUGCAACACAACCUUGUGUAUCCAUCUCGUCCUUUAAGGCAUCCAUUAGCUUCCUAACUACUAAACACACCGCUCGGGUCCGACGACCCCGUCCUGCUUCCUACCCACCGCACCGUCCGGUCUACGAGGAAGAACCUCUUCUUCCACCUCUUCCCUCAGACCUUGCCUUUUUAUUUUCCCUACUCUUCCAUCUUCGUCUGCCCCCUUCUGCCAUUUCAUCCUACUCUUUCCUCCUCCUCCUUCUUCCCUCAUCCUCUUCCACCGUCGUCCUCUUCGUCCCGAUACCGACGUUCGAGGGUCAUCGACAUCCGCGGCUGGAGACAUUGUACGCAACGUUGUUGCUCGGUUAUCGUGGUUGGCCGCGCACCUUGCGCGCGUUAACUUGGUCCGAUCCCCUCGUCGAACCUCACACCUGACGCAUUCAAGAGCAUGGAACGAAGAAUAUACAAAACUUGUAUAUAUAUAUAUACUCUAACGAGAGAAGGAAAUUUCGCAACUGAGAAAUUGCGCGAUCAAGGAUCGUAGAACGAAUCGUAACUGGAACGAAUUUCAUCGGAUCGGUAACGCAACAACGUUGCACAAUGGAGAUUUGCAUUGGAGACCAUUGCAGCGAGUGAGACUCUGGUUAGGCUCUCUGCCUACCUAUCCGCUAAUUUCCUUAAUUGCCAGCCACAGUAUGUAAUUAACGACGACCGUACUCGCUCCGAUUUCCAUGAUAUACGUACCCUCUAAUGAGAUAAAUUUAACCAUCCCUUCGAGGAGGGGAGGGGAGAGAGAAUUAAACAGCUG